ACUCGGGUAGCUCAGUUGGUUAAGCAUCUGACUCUUGAUCUCAGCUCGGGUCUUGAUCUCAGGGUCAUGAGUUCAAGUCCCAUCUUGGGUU
This 91-nucleotide transfer RNA is filed under the name Mustela putorius furo (domestic ferret). It matches the Rfam family "tRNA". From Rfam's summary of the family: Transfer RNA (tRNA) molecules are approximately 80 nucleotides in length. Their secondary structure includes four short double-helical elements and three loops (D, anti-codon, and T loops). Lineage: Eukaryota; Metazoa; Chordata; Mammalia; Carnivora; Mustelidae. The record is from Rfam by way of RNAcentral.